RNAcentral lists this unclassified non-coding RNA (342 nucleotides) under fungal sp. Its description in RNAcentral is "partial internal transcribed spacer region". The stretch from base 1 to 46 matches the Rfam family "Eukaryotic small subunit ribosomal RNA", at positions 1786 to 1831 of the family's 1831-position model. Lineage: Eukaryota; Fungi. The record is from RNAcentral.
AAGUCGUAACAAGGUCUCCGUAGGUGAACCUGCGGAGGGAUCAUUAACACGUUUAUAUCACUAUAAACGUAUCUAUACCAAACAAAUAGAAACAAAAGUUGAGAUGAACAAUGAUAUGAAAAUAUCAUCCUAAUCAAUACUUAGUUACUCUCCCUAGCUAUACUAUUUAUUUAGUGUAAUUAGGCUAUUUAUUCAAUUAUUCACCCCUUUCCAACUUUAUCAAAACAAUCCAUGUCUUAUAUGUGAAUAAAUGAAUUUUUAUUCUUACAUUGAUAUUUUAAUGUUAAAAGCACAACUCUUAGCAACGGAUAUCUUGGUUCUCGUAACGACGAAGAACGCAGC